Molecule: unclassified non-coding RNA, 421 nt
Filed under: Hevea brasiliensis (rubber tree)
Lineage: Eukaryota; Viridiplantae; Streptophyta; Magnoliopsida; Malpighiales; Euphorbiaceae
Source: RNAcentral
AUGUUUUGGAUUGUACUCAGCCCUAGGAGGACGUAUUAUAAAGUUGACAAGCUGCUCCAUAUAGAGAUUGAAAGCAAUCAAGUUUGAUUUGAUCCCUUCUUCUCCUGCUUUGUCUCUCGUUUAUUGCUCUCUUUCUUAGCUGUUGUAUUUUACUUGUUUAGCAAAUAAAGUAAUAAAAUAUAGAGGCCAUAGAAUAUUGGAAAUAGUGAAAAGAGACAGAAGGGAAGAACAAAACAAGGGAACAGAGAAGAGAAGAUACUCUGGCUGAUCUCUGUAUCUGAAGCAGAUUUUAUCAGACAGAGAAAGGGGAAGAAGAAGAAGGAGAAGGAGAAGAACCGGCCUCUGCAGAUGUUUUUAACUGGUUUUUGUUUUGGUUUUUCUUGUCGCAGGUGGCUUCCAUAAUUCCAUUUGGGGUUGUUCC